Molecule: transfer RNA, 71 nt
Filed under: Loxodonta africana (African savanna elephant)
Lineage: Eukaryota; Metazoa; Chordata; Mammalia; Proboscidea; Elephantidae
Rfam family: tRNA
About the family: Transfer RNA (tRNA) molecules are approximately 80 nucleotides in length.
Source: Rfam by way of RNAcentral
GCAGUGGUGGUUCAGUGGUAGAAUUCUUGCCUUUCAUGUGGGAGACCCGGUUUCGAUUCCCAGCCAAUGCA